UGGGGAAUUUUGGACAAUGGGCGAAAGCCUGAUCCAGCAAUGCCGCGUGUGUGAAGAAGGCCUUCGGGUUGUAAAGCACUUUUGUCCGGAAAGAAAUCCUUGGCUCUAAUACAGUCGGGGGAUGACGGUACCGGAAGAAUAAGCACCGGCUAACUACGUGCCAGCAGCCGCGGUAAUACGUAGGGUGCAAGCGUUAAUCGGAAUUACUGGGCGUAAAGCGUGCGCAGGCGGUUUGCUAAGACCGAUGUGAAAUCCCCGGGCUCAACCUGGGAACUGCAUUGGUGACUGGCAGGCUAGAGUAUGGCAGAGGGGGGUAGAAUUCCACGUGUAGCAGUGAAAUGCGUAGAGAUGUGGAGGAAUACCGAUGGCGAAGGCAGCCCCCUGGGCCAAUACUGACGCUCAUGCACGAAAGCGUGGGGAGCAAACAGGAUUAGAUACCCUGGUAGUCCACGCCCUAAANGAUGUCAACUAGUUGUUGGGGAUUCAUUUCCUUAGUAACGUAGCUAACGCGUGAAGUUGACCGCCUGGGGAGUACGGUCGCAAGAUUAAAACUUAAAGGAAUUGACGGGGUCAUAGCUGUUUCCU
RNAcentral lists this ribosomal RNA (585 nucleotides) under uncultured bacterium. RNAcentral describes it as "partial 16S ribosomal RNA". It matches the Rfam family "Bacterial small subunit ribosomal RNA", at positions 355 to 1375 of the family's 1533-position model. The record is from RNAcentral.